CUGAGGCAGGAGAAUCGCUUGAACCCGGGAGGCGGAGGUUGCAGUGAGCUAAGAUCGCACCACUGUACUCCAGCCUGGGCAACAGAGCGAGACCCUGUCUCAAAAAGAAAAAAAAGAAAAAGAAAAAGAAAGAAAGAAAGAGAGAAAGAAAGAAAAAGAAAGAAAGAAGGAAAGAGAAAGAAAGAAAGAAAAGAAAAAAAAUGAAAUCCCAUAUUCAUUAGCAGUCACUACCCGUUUCCCUCCAGCUCCCCCCUCCAGCCAUAGGCAAUCACCAAUCUAUUUUCUGUCUCUAUGGAUUUGCC
RNAcentral lists this long non-coding RNA (302 nucleotides) under Homo sapiens (human). RNAcentral's name for it is "HSALNT0407071". Lineage: Eukaryota; Metazoa; Chordata; Mammalia; Primates; Hominidae. The record is from RNAcentral.